RNAcentral lists this ribosomal RNA (514 nucleotides) under uncultured bacterium. Its description in RNAcentral is "bacterial SSU rRNA". It matches the Rfam family "Bacterial small subunit ribosomal RNA", at positions 15 to 518 of the family's 1533-position model. The record is from RNAcentral.
GAUCAUGGCUCAGGAUGAACGCUAGCUACAGGCUUAACACAUGCAAGUCGAGGGGCAGCAUUGGGAUAGCUUGCUAUUCAGAUGGCGACCGGCGCACGGGUGAGUAACGCGUAUCCAACCUUCCUGCCAGUAGGGAACAGCCCGGCGAAAGUCGGAUUAAUGCCCUAUGUUCUUCAAUGCGGACAUCUAAGUUGAAGGAAAGAUUCAUCGCUGGCAGAUGGGGAUGCGUCCGAUUAGCUUGCCGGCGGGGUAACGGCCCACCGGGGCGACGAUCGGUAGGGGUUCUGAGAGGAAGGUCCCCCACACUGGUACUGAGACACGGACCAGACUCCUACGGGAGGCAGCAGUGAGGAAUAUUGGUCAAUGGGCGUAAGCCUGAACCAGCCAAGUAGCGUGCCAGGAUGACGGCCCUACGGGUUGUAAACUGCUUUUAUGCGGGGAUAAAGUGCGGCACGUGUGCCGCUUUGCAGGUACCGCAUGAAUAAGGACCGGCUAAUUCCGUGCCAGCCGCCGC